GAAAAAGAAGUAACUGCCGGUAACGGGAAACCGGUUAAAAUCCGGUGCAGCCCCGCUACUGUGACCUGUCCUUGAAGAUUUGAGGACUAUUUUAAUGCCACUGCUUAACGCGGGAAGGUAUUAAAAGAAGGCAAAGUUGGAAACCCUAAAAUUGUUUUUGCGCUUGAAAGCGGUUCAUAACAAGCCAUUGCAGGAUGGCGCGUUGUACCCGCUUUUAAAGCGAAAAAAAAAGUUUUGCCGCGAAACAAGGAAGCCGAGUCCGAGGAUACUUAAAAAGUAUCUGAGGCAAGGCUGACGAAGUUGCAGCGCAAAAAUUAUUUUUGCAGCUAAAAUGGGGUACAACAAGCCAUCCUAAAGGAAGCCAGGAGACCGGCCGGCAGAAUAAAACCAGC
RNAcentral lists this non-coding RNA (392 nucleotides) under Elusimicrobiota bacterium. The record is from RNAcentral. Lineage: Bacteria; Pseudomonadati; Elusimicrobiota.